Long non-coding RNA from Oreochromis niloticus (Nile tilapia), 4158 nucleotides. RefSeq lists it as uncharacterized. The record is from RefSeq and is a predicted model, not a curated record. Lineage: Eukaryota; Metazoa; Chordata; Actinopteri; Cichliformes; Cichlidae. The transcript is spliced from 2 exons.
UUUGUGUAUAUCAGCAGCUGGCUGCAAACCCGCUCCCCUCGGAAAGAUGGCGACGAUGAUAUGGGGGGCCACCCGGGCUAUAGGGAGGCUUCUGAGGUAAACCACUGCUGUAGGUCGGCACCCAAACACUUGACUAGUUACGGGGGGAAGUACCGAGUCUACAGGCAGGUGUGUGUUGUCGCGUGCGGUGCGGAUGUGAUAGCAGGUCGAGAACCGCCAAUUCGAGCUAGCUGUCAGCUAGCUCUGUGAGCUAACAGCGGGCUAGCUGCUUCCGAGGCAGGCUCAGUUUUGUCCUUGGAGAUGCCUACCUAUCCUCAAGAUUAGAGAGCUUCUGGGAGAAGGCUGCAGGAUUUUCUGAAGACCGGUCAUCUGUCCUGCUUCCACGACUGCAGAGCCAUGUUUAUUAUGCUCAUAUAAAGUUAAUAUAUGACCGGGGUGGGCUGAGGAAGAAAAUGGGAGCUGUGGGAUGAGGUAGUAGUUUGUAUAGUUUUAGGAUCACACCAGAUCUGGGAGAUAACUAUACAGCCUACUGUCUUUCUCACGGCAACCGAAACCAUCACCUCCAUCGUCUUACCUCUUCAGGUUUUUGGUCAUAACUUUGUUCCAGUGUUGUUGCUUUCCACUGGUCUUGUUUUAAAUAUUUUAUCAUUUUUCUAUUAUUUUUUAGAUUAUAGAUGAAAGUGCUUUGGUUAUCCGUGGAAAUCUGAUCAGAUUUUCCAAAGCGCCUGCAGCAUACGUGGUUUCAUUGUCUUAUGUUAUCAAAGACCAGGAAUUUAUUUUGAAUUCCCAUAUAGUGCAGGAUUAUAUUAAUCAAUUUUAUGGUUUUGUACAAAUCUAUACAGAUGCAAAAUACAGGCGAUCAAGUGGGUGUGGCAUUCAAUCUUCCAGAAUUGAAGAUAAAAGUUGGAAAAAUGCUCAAUAAUGGACUUUCAGUGUACACAGGGGAAAUGUUGGCAUUGUUGUUAGCUGUUCAGUGGGUGGAGGAAAACAAGCCAUUAUGGACAAUAAUCUGUUCAGACUCUAGUUCAUCAUUGGCCAGCUUGGAUAAGUCAUUCAGAUGCCAGACCAGACAUUUUAAUUGAGAUUUUACAGACAAUCCACAGAAUAAAAAUGAUGGGACUGAUAGUUAAAUUCGUACGGAUACCAGCACAUUAUGGUGUUAUUGGCAAUGAGGUGGCAGAUAAAAUUGCAAAGCAGGCUGCUAACGGAGAUCAAGUUGAUUUAAAUGUCAGUAUUAGGAAAGCUGAAAUGAAGAGCAUGGUAAAACGGAAAACAAGGGAAAGAUGACAAAAGCGGUGGGAGGAGAGGACAGGGAGAUGGUUUUAUUCUAGUCAAAGGAAAAUGGGGGAAUCAGGAGAGAAGAGACAAUAUCUCGAUUCAGAUUUGGACACACUGGGUUUAACAGUUCACUGUUCAUUAUAGGGAAAAAUCAAAUGGGGAAAUGUAGUAGUGAAACUGUUGAACAUGUUUUGUUCCAUUGUCAAAAUUAUCAGGAAGAGAAAAGAAAACUAAUUCAAAACCUGGAAUGCUUUUCUUUGAUUGGAGGGACCACACUGGAGGUGCAAGUCUAUUGCAUGCUGGUCUAUGCCAUUACAAAUGAGCUGUCCUCUGGACUUAACUGAGCUGGGAGGAAAAAAUACGGACCAGACUAAGCAAAAGAGGGCAUUUAAAGAGUGAAGGUCUCACAAUGGUUUCACCUGAAACCUCUGCCGAUAAUGACCCAUACCCUUUUUCACACCUUGAAAAGGGUAUGAAAAAGUCACCUUUCAUGUGAUGAGACACAUGGUCUAUAAUGUGUCAAAGAAACUCUUAAAGAGACUACUCCCGCUAUGGUUUAAGUACUUGGGACUGUCAACCAUUUGGUCUUAGAACUAAAGAAGCUUCUUGGAUGAAAGGUGAGACGUUUUCAAGAAAAUUAAAGAAGUUCAGUCGCUUUAUUUUCCAAGCCCCGUAGAUUUCUCUGAAAAUGGUCAGGUACAAGGUCUGGACUGAAAAUGUUGAAUAGUUAGUAUAAUAUUAUCUAAUAGCUAAUAUAAUAUUAGCUCAUAAUUGGAUGCAGCAACUCACGGCUCUGAUUUUUAGUAAACUACAAAGUUGGUCUGUAACUCCUACACUUGGUGCUGUUACUUGGUAGCUGAGUAUUUCUUUCUGUGCCCCUAAUUAGUCUCACAGUGUUUCUAGGUGCUUCUCUGUUGUUUCUUUGCAAGCCUUACAGCUUUUAGUGUCCUGCAACAUCUGAGUCACGGUCCUGGGGGCUCCAGCCCCAUCCCAGAGUAAACUGAAAACACUGUGUAAAUAAUAGAAAAAAAAUGUUUUCAUAAAAUAGACUGUUUUCUUAAUUGAUGCAGAGAUGUCUGUCUUUUUUAUUAGAUCAGGUCUGGCACUUAGUGUUAUAGAUUCUAUAAUGGACAUGUUAAAUUGUAUCCUUUUUUUUUUUGAUAACAAACCUGUGAAAAACAAUUGUGUUAGUAUUGAUAAUUUGCAGUGGUUUAGUAUUGAUUGAAAUAUCUGUGAAGUCCAGUUGAUUUUUAAUCAUGAUUUUAUUAUUGUUUCAACAUUAACCACUGGUGCAAAGGUGGUGGAAAAUCAACAUCAGAAUUCAACAUUGAUUCAAUAUCAAACUAUAAUAUUGUUCCAAUAUUAAGAUGGGUUUGGCUGUUGAAAUGUGGUGCUUUACUGAUCUUCCCAGAUCACCCCUGACUUUGUGAUAGAGUAAUAAUAAUAAUAAUAAUGGCAUUUUUGACCAUUGGUAUACCACAACUUAAUCCUUUCAACAGCUACCGAAAGCUAAGGGACCUAGCUUGUGUGAGCCUUUUGGGAUAUAUAUACACUGCUCAAAAAAUAAAGGGCACACUUAAACAACACAGUGUAACUCCAAGUCAGUCACACUUCUGUGAAAUCAAACUGUCCACUACUUGACAAUCAAUUUCACAUGCUGCUAUGCAAAUGGAAUAGACAACGGGUGGAAAUUAUAGGCAAUUAGAAAGACAUCCCCAAUAAAUGAGUGGUUCUGCAGUGGUUCUUCUUGGUACCUAUGCUUUCUGGCUGAUGUUUUGGUCACUUUUGAAUGCUAGCGGUGUUUUCACUCUAGUGACACACAACUGGCUCAGGUAGUGCAACUCAUCCAGGAUGGCACAUCACUGUGAUCUGUGGUAAGGUUUGCUCUGUCUGUCAGCGUAGUGUCCAGAGCAUGGAGGCGCUACCAGGGGACGUGGAGGAGGCCGUAGGAGGGCAACAACCCAGCAACAGGACCAAUACCUCCACCUUUGUGCAAGGAGAAACAGGAGGAGCAUUGCCAGAGCCCUGCUAAAUGACCUCCAGCAGGCCAGAAAUGUGCAUGUGUCUGCUCAAACAGUCAGAAACAGACUCCGUGAGGGUGGCAUGAGGGCCCAACGUCCACAGGUGGGGGUUGUGCUUACAGCCCAACACCAUGCAGGACGUUUGGCAUUUGCCAGAGGUCACCAGGCUGAUCCACUCCUGAGGGAUUUGGUGUUUUGCCAUCUCCAAGGGAGAGGAGCAAGGUUCCCAAGCCAGUUAUGAUUCUGCUACGUCAGUGGGACCGUUUGGUAGAGAAGAGUGGCAUACUCUAUCGCCAGACUUCACGUCCUGAUGGGGGUGAGGAAGUGCUCCAACUUGUCCUUCCAGAGGCUCUGAAGUCUCUGGGAUAUCAGCUGAGACAGCUGCACCAGGACCAUGAGCGUACCACCGAAUUGGUCAGACAGCACUGUUACUGGCCAGGGAUGUCCUCUGACUUCAAACAGUGGGUCCAGGGUUGUGAGCGUUGUCAAACUGCAAAAGAUUCAGGGUUGGUAUUGCAUAGCUAUAUGGGCCACCCUUUUGGCAUCUAGGACAAAUAAAAUCCUGGCCAUAGAUUUCACUUUGUUGGAACCCUCCCUUGGUGGGCUUAAGAAUGUCCUGAUUAUGACUGAUGUUUUUAGCAAAUACACUGUUGCAGUCGCUACCUGGGAUCAGCGGGCUUCUACUAUAGCCCAGGUCCUUGUGACAGAGCGGUUCUUUAAGUUUGGUGUUCCUAGCUGCAUCCACUUUGACUAAGGCAGGAACAGCAAAGUCUGUACAACUCCAUACCAUCUAGCACGUAAUGGACAGUGUGAACGAUUUAAUAGAACCCUUCACAACCUCUUGCAUACCCUUCCACCA